UACGUAGGGUGCAAGCGUUGUCCGGAUUUAUUGGGCGCAAAGCGCUCGCAGGCGGUUUGAUGCGUCGGGUGUGAAAGCCCCCGGCUCAACUGGGGAGGGUCAUGCGAUACGGGCAGACUGGAGGCCAGUAGGGGGAUGCGGAAUUCCGGGUGUAGUGGUGGAAUGCGUAGAGAUCCGGAGGAACACCAGCGGCGAAGGCGGCAUCCUGGACUGGUACUGACGCUCAGGAGCGAAAGCGUGGGGAGCGAUCAGG
RNAcentral lists this ribosomal RNA (253 nucleotides) under uncultured bacterium. RNAcentral's name for it is "partial 16S ribosomal RNA". It matches the Rfam family "Bacterial small subunit ribosomal RNA", at positions 524 to 776 of the family's 1533-position model. The record is from RNAcentral.